This 200-nucleotide unclassified non-coding RNA is filed under the name Xylariaceae sp. RNAcentral's name for it is "partial internal transcribed spacer 2". The record is from RNAcentral. Lineage: Eukaryota; Fungi; Ascomycota; Sordariomycetes; Xylariales; Xylariaceae.
UUAAGUUCAGCGGGUAUUCCUACCUGAUCCGAGGUCAACCACUAGAUAUAUAAGGUUUCACUUGGCUGUGCCGCGCGAACACCCCCUAAAAGUGAGAACAUAAUUACUACACUUCAAGGCGACGCGAGCCCUGCCACGAAAUUUAAGGGGUUGCGCCGCGAGGACGCAAGCCCCCAACGCUAAACAACUAAGGCUUAGGG